GCUUUUUUUUUUCCUUUUUUUUUUUUCCCAAGUUUGAAAUAGUUGGGUGGAUUUUACAUGUUGAAUGUUCCUGAUCUGAGACUGUAAUGAAAUACUUGUGUGGAUUUUACAUGUUGAAUGUUCCUGAUCUGAGACUGUAAUGAAAUACUUGUGUGGAUUUUACAUGUUGAAUGUUCCUGAUCUGAAACAGUAUGCUCUGAGUCUCGCUCCAUUCAUAAAUUGGGUAAUAGUUAAAAAGUAGGCUGUCCGUUGCCCAUUGAUUAGUGUCAUGCUAAUGCACAUACAAUAGAUUUUAUCUCCUAAAUAAGCAGUCUUUGUAAACUUCGUCUAGUUCUCAAUGUUUUAAGUGAUAAAUUAUACAGACCUCAGAAGCACUUCGAACUGCACCUGAAGAUCUGACGAGUAGUCGCUUGAGCCCUUGACUUGGGAAUGUUAACAUCAAGUUGAGAAUGUGGACUACAAGCUGUACUGGCUAUUUAUUUUCCUAAGUGCAGUCUGUCUCCUAGACGUUUUAGUUCAUCAUGCUGAUUCUUGAUACUUUAACCAUCACCUCAACCUGGACUGGGAAUUUCAGUGUCUUGCAUAACCAGCAUUCCUGCAGACUCUCGAAUGUUCGGUCUCUUCCCAAGGAGCCACUAGAUGUGUUUGAAUUUGUUUCUUCAUCUUAGCUUGCCAAAUUACCGACUUUUCCCAGAAGAUGGACACCUCUUCGGAAACCUCAGAAUCUGUCAGUAGCUUAUGUAGAUUUCCAGGCUCAGGCUUUUUUUCCUCUCUUGCUCUGAGCCUGCGUUUGCCCUAGGACCUGCUUGCAGUGCUGAUGGGAUUCUGAGCAACUCAGCCUGUGUGGGAGUUGCACACAGCCCCCUGCAGUCCCACUCCAGGCCUUUCUCAAGGGAAAGGAAGCUUUUCAUCCUCAUCAAAAAAAAAAAAAAAAAAAAAGCCUAUGUGAAUGUUCAUACAAGCAGAACUAGGUGCAGUGUGCUGUGUGCUCUAUAGAGGGGAGCUGUCCACAGUCAGCGUGUCCCUGUGAUUUACCACUUGGCAGGGAAGAAAAGUACAUAAGCCACUGGCACGAUGAGAAUACAAAGCCCAGAAUGUUCUCAAAAGUGAAGGAAGCUGGGUAUUAUUCUCCGGUAGAUUGAUCAACAUUUGCAGAAGGCAGAAUUUAAAGAAUUUUAAGGUUAUUUUUAUCGUUAAAUUGUAACUACAUUUUAUAACCUUAAUUCCUGGUUGUAACCAAAUGCAGUUUGUGCUUCUGUCUAGAUUACAGCUCGGCUCUUUGGAUAUGGUUCUGAUUGUGGCUCCAGUGCUAUUGUUUCUAUAGUUUCUAGUUAACUGAGGCGUCUUCCAAGUUACCCAGGGUACAUUGCAGUCUACCACAUGCUUGUUACAGUCUUAGAUCGUCAACAC
Molecule: long non-coding RNA, 1410 nt
Filed under: Rattus norvegicus (Norway rat)
Lineage: Eukaryota; Metazoa; Chordata; Mammalia; Rodentia; Muridae
Description: long non-coding RNA NONRATT000136
Source: RNAcentral